Molecule: long non-coding RNA, 496 nt
Organism: Helianthus annuus (common sunflower)
Lineage: Eukaryota; Viridiplantae; Streptophyta; Magnoliopsida; Asterales; Asteraceae
Exons: 5
Source: RefSeq, a predicted model, not a curated record
GUUUUACAAAAAAACCAUGAAUGUUUAAACAGAGACCAGUAUCAUUCGUUCAGAUCCUACCCAUAUGAAACCCUAGAUCUCUUCUACUGCCCUCAGUCAACAAAAAAUGCAGACAUGUGUGAAGAUGUCUUCUGUCCAAUUGGUUACAAGACUGGAUUUCUUCGAUCUGUUUGGUUUGGAUGAUUUCAACUUCUUUCAUUUUCAAAACAAACUUUAUCAGAAAUUCAACAUGUUAACGACUGAUGAGCAUGAUCAUGCUGAGUUAUGUUAUGUAUCUUACGGAGUUUAAGUUUGGUGAUGACAAAAAAGUAGCUGAUCUGUCACUAAAGGCUUAUCAAGAAAAGGGACUGUUAUAAGGAUGAGCAAAUGGUACUAGAUAUCGGUACAGAAUUUGCCGAACCGUGUACAUAAAUAUGAUAUGUAAUUAUAAAUAAAGAAUUUGCAAUUACAUUAUGUAUUUAUUUGUUAUAACUUUUUAUUUCAGUUUUUUAUGUUA